Molecule: unclassified non-coding RNA, 342 nt
Filed under: soil metagenome
Description: partial contains 5.8S ribosomal RNA, internal transcribed spacer 2, and large subunit ribosomal RNA
Rfam family: 5.8S ribosomal RNA (bases 1-120)
Source: RNAcentral
GAUGAAGAACGUAGCGAAAUGCGAUAAGUAAUGUGAAUUGCAGAAUUCAGUGAAUCAUCGAAUCUUUGAACGCACAUUGCGCCCGCCAGUAUUCUGGCGGGCAUGCCUGUUCGAGCGUCAUUUCAACCCUCAGGACCCUUUGGACCUGGUGUUGGGGCUCGGCCGCUACCCCGCGGCCGUCCCCGAAAGAUAGUGGCGGUCUCGCUGUAGCGUCCUCUGCGUAGUAAUUACACCUCGCACUGGAACGCGGCGCGGCCACGCCGUUAAACACCCCACUUCUCAAGGUUGACCUCGGAUCAGGUAGGAAUACCCGCUGAACUUAAGCAUAUCAUAAGCGGAGGA